GCCCUGGUAGCUCAGCUGGAUAGAGCGACGGCCUCCUAAGCCGUAGGUCAUGGGUUCAAAUCCCAUCCAGGGCG
This 74-nucleotide transfer RNA is filed under the name Thermoproteota archaeon. RNAcentral describes it as "Crenarchaeota archaeon (hot springs metagenome) tRNA-Arg". It matches the Rfam family "tRNA". From Rfam's summary of the family: Transfer RNA (tRNA) molecules are approximately 80 nucleotides in length. Lineage: Archaea; Thermoproteati; Thermoproteota. The record is from RNAcentral.